GAUGAACGCUAGCGGCAGGCUUAACACAUGCAAGUCGAGGGGCAGCGUGGAGCAGCAAUGCUCUGACGGCGACCGGCGGAAGGGUGCGUAACACGUGAGCGACUUGCCCGUCACAGGGGGAUAACCGGCGGAAACGGCGACUAAUACCCCAUACGAUGCGAUGCUGCAUGGCAUUGCAUUGAAAGAUUCAUCGGUGGCGGAUAGGCUCGCGGGACAUUAGCUAGACGGCGGGGCAACGGCCCACCGUGGCGACGAUGUCUAGGGGUUCUGAGAGGAAGGCCCCCCCACACUGGGACUGAGACACGGCCCAAACUCCUACGGGAGGCAGCAGUGGGGAAUAUUGCACAAUGGGGGAAACCCUGAUGCAGCGACGCCGCGUGAGCGAAGAGUAUUUCGGUAUGUAAAACUCUAUCAGCAGGGAAGAAGAAUGACGGUACCUGACUAAGAAGCACCGGCUAAAUACGUG
This 466-nucleotide ribosomal RNA is filed under the name uncultured bacterium. RNAcentral's name for it is "bacterial SSU rRNA". It matches the Rfam family "Bacterial small subunit ribosomal RNA", at positions 28 to 507 of the family's 1533-position model. The record is from RNAcentral.